Molecule: ribosomal RNA, 253 nt
Filed under: uncultured bacterium
Lineage: Bacteria
Description: partial 16S ribosomal RNA
Rfam family: Bacterial small subunit ribosomal RNA
Source: RNAcentral
UACGAAGGUCCCAAGUGUUAUCCGGAUUCACUGGGUUUAAAGGGUGCGUAGGUGGGCUGGUAAGUCAGUGGUGAAAUCCCCGAGCUUAACUUGGGAACUGCCAUUGAUACUAUCAGUCUUGAAUACCGUGGAGGUCAGCGGAAUAUGUCAUGUAGCGGUGAAAUGCUUAGAUAUGACAUAGAACACCAAUUGCGAAGGCAGCUGGCUACACGAAUAUUGACACUGAGGCACGAAAGCGUGGGGAUCAAACAGG